CCAUGUCCGGCGCUGACGUGACCUCUCUUCUUCCUGUUCUUCUUGAAUCUGGUUGUCAUUUUCGCCGAUCUGCUACACUCUCCUCCCUCCCUUUCUCUCUUUGCGGCUAG
This 110-nucleotide small RNA is filed under the name Arabidopsis thaliana (thale cress). Its description in RNAcentral is "ATSL070290". Lineage: Eukaryota; Viridiplantae; Streptophyta; Magnoliopsida; Brassicales; Brassicaceae. The record is from RNAcentral.